Molecule: ribosomal RNA, 374 nt
Filed under: uncultured eukaryote
Lineage: Eukaryota
Description: partial 18S ribosomal RNA
Rfam family: Eukaryotic small subunit ribosomal RNA
Source: RNAcentral
CAAGAGCGUAUGUAAAAGUUGUUACAGUUAAAAAGCUCGUAGUUGAACCUUGGGUUUGGUUGGCCGGUCCGCUUUUUUGCGAGUACUGGAUUCAACCGAGCCUUUCCUUCUGGCUAACCAGUCGUUUCGGCGGCUGGCGAACCAGGAUUUUUACUUUGAGAAAAUUAGAGUGUUCAAAGCAGGCAUUAGCUUGAAUAUAUUAGCAUGGAAUAAUAGAAUAGGACGUUAUGGUUCUAUUUUGUUGGUUUCUAGGACCAUCGUAAUGAUUAAUAGGGACGGUCGGGGGCAUCAGUAUUCAGUUGUCAGAGGUGAAAUUCUUGGAUUUACUGAAGACUAACUACUGCGAAAGCAUUUGCCAAGGACGUUUUCAUUAA